GCAAGUCGAACGAGAAAGCGGGGGCAACUCCGCGAGUAAAGUGGCGACCGGGUGAGUAACACGUGACUAACCUGCCCUCGAGCGGGGGAUAACCCCGGGAAACCGGGGCUAAUACCGCAUAACAUCUUCGAUAUGAAAGUAUUGAGGAUCAAAGGAGCAAUUCACUUGAGGAGGGGGUCGCGGCCGAUUAGCUAGUUGGCGGGGUAACGGCCCACCAAGGCUGAGAUCGGUAGCCGGCCUGAGAGGGCGCACGGCCACACUGGAACUGAAACACGGUCCAGACUCCUACGGGAGGCAGCAGUGGGGAAUUUUGCGCAAUGGGGGGAACCCUGACGCAGCAACGCCGCGUGGAGGAUGAAGUCCCUUGGGACGUAAACUCCUUUCGACCGGGAAGAUAAUGACGGUACCGGAAGAAGAAGCACCGGCUAACUCUGUGCCAGCAGCCGCGGUAAUACAGAGGGUGCGAGCGUUGUUCGGAAUUAUUGGGCGU
Molecule: ribosomal RNA, 490 nt
Filed under: uncultured bacterium
Lineage: Bacteria
Description: bacterial SSU rRNA
Rfam family: Bacterial small subunit ribosomal RNA
Source: RNAcentral